UACGUAGGGAGCGAGCGUUGUCCGAAGUUACUGGGCGUAAAGCGCGCGUAGGCGGGCUGUUAAGUGAGAGGUGAAAGGCUGGGGCUCAACCCCAUGCAGUGCCUCUCAUACUGGCGGUCUUGAAUUCGGCAGGGAGAAGUGGAAUGGCUGGUGUAGCGGUGAAAUGCGUAGAUAUCGGGAGGAACACCUAUGGCGAAGGCAGCUCGCUGGGACGUUACUGACGCUGAGACGCGAAAGCGCGGGGAGCAAACAGG
RNAcentral lists this ribosomal RNA (254 nucleotides) under uncultured bacterium. RNAcentral describes it as "partial 16S ribosomal RNA". It matches the Rfam family "Bacterial small subunit ribosomal RNA", at positions 524 to 776 of the family's 1533-position model. The record is from RNAcentral.